AUUGAACGCUGGCGGCAUGCUUUACACAUGCAAGUCGAACGGUAACAGGUCUUCGGAUGCUGACGAGUGGCGAACGGGUGAGUAAUACAUCGGAACGUGCCUAGUAGUGGGGGAUAACUACUCGAAAGAGUAGCUAAUACCGCAUGAGAUCUACGGAUGAAAGCAGGGGACCUUCGGGCCUUGUGCUACUAGAGCGGCUGAUGGCAGAUUAGGUAGUUGUUGGGGUAAAGGCUUACCAAGCCUGCGAUCUGUAGCUGGUCUGAGAGGACGACCAGCCACACUGGGACUGAGACACGGCCCAGACUCCUACGGGAGGCAGCAGUGGGGAAUUUUGGACAAUGGGCGAAAGCCUGAUCCAGCAAUGCCGCGUGCAGGAUGAAGGCCCUCGGGUUGUAAACUGCUUUUGUACGGAACGAAAAGCCUGGGGCUAAUAUCCCCGGGUCAUGACGGUACCGUAAGAAUAAGCACCGGCUAACUACGUGCCAGCAGCCGCGGUAAUACGUAGGGUGCAAGCGUUAAUCGGAAUUACUGGGCGUAAAGCGUGCGCAGGCGGUUUUGUAAGACAGUGGUGAAAUCCCCCGGGCUCAACCUGGGAACUGCCAUUGUGACUGCAAGGCUAGAGUGCGGCAGAGGGGGAUGGAAUUCCGCGUGUAGCAGUGAAAUGCGUAGAUAUGCGGAGGAACACCGAUGGCGAAGGCAAU
RNAcentral lists this ribosomal RNA (701 nucleotides) under uncultured beta proteobacterium. Its description in RNAcentral is "bacterial SSU rRNA". It matches the Rfam family "Bacterial small subunit ribosomal RNA", at positions 28 to 725 of the family's 1533-position model. The record is from RNAcentral. Lineage: Bacteria; Pseudomonadati; Pseudomonadota; Betaproteobacteria.